UGAGGCAGGAGAAUUGCUUGAACCCAGGAGGUGGAGGCUGCAGUGAGCCAAGAUCGUGCCACUGUACUCCAGCCUGGGUGACAGAGUGAGACUCCAUCU
Molecule: microRNA precursor, 99 nt
Organism: Rhinopithecus bieti (black snub-nosed monkey)
Lineage: Eukaryota; Metazoa; Chordata; Mammalia; Primates; Cercopithecidae
Source: Ensembl